GAGUUUGAUCCUGGCUCAGGACGAACGCUGGCGGUGUGCUUCACACAUGCAAGUCGAACGGGGUAGCAAUACCCAGUGGCGGACGGGUGAGUAACACGUGGGAAUCUACCAUAAGGUGGGGAAUAACAGGCCGAAAGGUCUGCUAAUGCCGCAUAUGUAGGCAUCUCGACAGAGGUGUUUAUGAAAGGAGUAAUCCGCCUUUUGAUGAGCCCGCGUCCGAUUAGCUAGUUGGUAGGGUAAAAGCCUACCAAGGCGACGAUCGGUAGGUGGUCUGAGAGGAUGAUCACCCACAAUGGGACUGAGACACGGCCCAUACUCCUACGGGAGGCAGCAGUGGGGAAUUUUACGCAAUGGGGGAAACCCUGACGUAGCGACACCGCGUGAGCGAAGAAGCCCUUUGGGGUGUAAAGCUCUGUCAACAGGAACGAAAUCAAUGACGGUACCUGUGGAGGAAGCAUCGGCUAAUUACGUGCCAGCCGCCGCAGU
RNAcentral lists this ribosomal RNA (486 nucleotides) under uncultured Alphaproteobacteria bacterium. RNAcentral's name for it is "bacterial SSU rRNA". It matches the Rfam family "Bacterial small subunit ribosomal RNA", at positions 9 to 521 of the family's 1533-position model. Lineage: Bacteria; Pseudomonadati; Pseudomonadota; Alphaproteobacteria. The record is from RNAcentral.